RNAcentral lists this ribosomal RNA (1346 nucleotides) under uncultured bacterium. RNAcentral describes it as "bacterial SSU rRNA". It matches the Rfam family "Bacterial small subunit ribosomal RNA", at positions 28 to 1381 of the family's 1533-position model. The record is from RNAcentral.
GACGAACGCUGGCGGCGUGCUUAACACAUGCAAGUCGAACGGAAAGGCCCUGCUUUUGUGGGGUGCUCGAGUGGCGAACGGGUGAGUAACACGUGAGUAACCUGCCCUUGACUUUGGGAUAACUUCAGGAAACUGGGGCUAAUACCGGAUAGGAGCUCCUGCUGCAUGGUGGGGGUUGGAAAGUUUCGGCGGUUGGGGAUGGACUCGCGGCUUAUCAGCUUGUUGGUGGGGUAGUGGCUUACCAAGGCUUUGACGGGUAGCCGGCCUGAGAGGGUGACCGGCCACAUUGGGACUGAGGUACGGCCCAGACUCCUACGGGAGGCAGCAGUGGGGAAUAUUGCACAAUGGGCGGAAGCCUGAUGCAGCAACGCCGCGUGCGGGAUGACGGCCUUCGGGUUGUAAACCGCUUUCGCCUGUGACGAAGCGUGAGUGACGGUAAUGGGUAAAGAAGCACCGGCUAACUACGUGCCAGCAGCCGCGGUGAUACGUAGGGUGCGAGCGUUGUCCGGAUUUAUUGGGCGUAAAGGGCUCGUAGGUGGUUGAUCGCGUCGGAAGUGUAAUCUUGGGGCUUAACCCUGAGCGUGCUUUCGAUACGGGUUGACUUGAGGAAGGUAGGGGAGAAUGGAAUUCCUGGUGGAGCGGUGGAAUGCGCAGAUAUCAGGAGGAACACCAGUGGCGAAGGCGGUUCUCUGGGCCUUUCCUGACGCUGAGGAGCGAAAGCGUGGGGAGCGAACAGGCUUAGAUACCCUGGUAGUCCACGCUGUAAACGGUGGGUACUAGGUGUGGGGUCCAUUCCACGGGUUCCGUGCCGUAGCUAACGCUUUAAGUACCCCGCCUGGGGAGUACGGCCGCAAGGCUAAAACUCAAAGGAAUUGACGGGGCCCCGCACAAGCGGCGGAGCAUGCGGAUUAAUUCGAUGCAACGCGUAGAACCUUACCUGGGUUUGACAUGGAUCGGGAGCGCUCAGAGAUGGGUGUGCCUCUUUUAGGGUCGGUUCACAGGUGGUGCAUGGCUGUCGUCAGCUCGUGUCGUGAGAUGUUGGGUUAAGUCCCGCAACGAGCGCAACCCUUGUUCACUGUUGCCAGCACGUUAUGGUGGGGACUCAGUGGAGACCGCCGGGGUCAACUCGGAGGAAGGUGGGGAUGACGUCAAGUCAUCAUGCCCCUUAUGUCCAGGGCUUCACGCAUGCUACAAUGGCUGGUACAGAGAGUGGCGAGCCUGUGAGGGUGAGCGAAUCUCGGAAAGCCGGUCUCAGUUCGGAUUGGGGUCUGCAACUCGACCUCAUGAAGUCGGAGUCGCUAGUAAUCGCAGAUCAGCAACGCUGCGGUGAAUACGUUCCCGGGGCU